RNAcentral lists this ribosomal RNA (2634 nucleotides) under human gut metagenome. RNAcentral's name for it is "bacterial LSU rRNA". It matches the Rfam family "Bacterial large subunit ribosomal RNA", at positions 305 to 2925 of the family's 2925-position model. The record is from RNAcentral.
AGAGUCUGAAUCAGCUUGUGUGUUAGUGGAACGGUCUGGAAAGUCCGACGGUACAGGGUGAUAGUCCCGUACACCAAAAUGCACAGGCUGUGAACUCGAAGAGUAGGGCGGGACACGUGGUAUCCUGUCUGAAUAUGGGGGGACCAUCCUCCAAGGCUAAAUACUCCUGACUGACCGAUAGUGAACCAGUACCGUGAGGGAAAGGCGAAAAGAACCCCGGCGAGGGGAGUGAAAAAGAACCUGAAACCGUGUACGUACAAGCAGUGGGAGCACCUUUAUGGUGUGACUGCGUACCUUUUGUAUAAUGGGUCAGCGACUUAUAUUCUGUAGCAAGGUUAACCGUAUAGGGGAGCCGCAGGGAAACCGAGUCUUAACUGGGCGUUAAGUUGCAGGGUAUAGACCCGAAACCCGGUGAUCUAGCCAUGGGCAGGUUGAAGGUUGGGUAACACUAACUGGAGGACCGAACCGACUAAUGUUGAAAAAUUAGCGGAUGACUUGUGGCUGGGGGUGAAAGGCCAAUCAAACCGGGAGAUAGCUGGUUCUCCCCGAAAGCUAUUUAGGUAGCGCCUCGUGAACUCAUCUUCGGGGGUAGAGCACUGUUUCGGCUAGGGGGUCAUCCCGACUUACCAACCCGAUGCAAACUACGAAUACCGAAGAAUGUUAUCACGGGAGACACACGGCGGGUGCUAACGUCCGUCGUGAAGAGGGAAACAACCCAGACCGCCAGCUAAGGUCCCAAAGUCAUGGUUAAGUGGGAAACGAUGUGGGAAGGCACAGACAGCCAGGAUGUUGGCUUAGAAGCAGCCAUCAUUUAAAGAAAGCGUAAUAGCUCACUGGUCGAGUCGGCCUGCGCGGAAGAUGUAACGGGGCUAAACCAUGCACCGAAGCUGCGGCAGCGACACUAUGUGUUGUUGGGUAGGGGAGCGUUCUGUAAGCCUGCGAAGGUGGCCUGUGAGGGUUGCUGGAGGUAUCAGAAGUGCGAAUGCUGACAUAAGUAACGAUAAAGCGGGUGAAAAGCCCGCUCGCCGGAAGACCAAGGGUUCCUGUCCAACGUUAAUCGGGGCAGGGUGAGUCGACCCCUAAGGCGAGGCCGAAAGGCGUAGUCGAUGGGAAACAGGUUAAUAUUCCUGUACUUGGUGUUACUGCGAAGGGGGGACGGAGAAGGCUAUGUUAGCCGGGCGACGGUUGUCCCGGUUUAAGCAUGUAGGCUGGUUAUCCAGGCAAAUCCGGAUAAUCAAGGCUGAGGUGUGAUGACGAGGCACUACGGUGCUGAAGUAACAAAUGCCCUGCUUCCAGGAAAAGCCUCUAAGCAUCAGGUAACAUCAAAUCGUACCCCAAACCGACACAGGUGGUCAGGUAGAGAAUACCAAGGCGCUUGAGAGAACUCGGGUGAAGGAACUAGGCAAAAUGGUGCCGUAACUUCGGGAGAAGGCACGCUGGUGUGUAGGUGAAGUCCCUGCGGAUGGAGCUGAGACCAGUCGAAGAUACCAGCUGGCUGCAACUGUUUAUUAAAAACACAGCACUGUGCAAACACGAAAGUGGACGUAUACGGUGUGACGCCUGCCCGGUGCCGGAAGGUUAAUUGAUGGGGUUAUCCGUAAGGAGAAGCUCUUGAUCGAAGCCCCGGUAAACGGCGGCCGUAACUAUAACGGUCCUAAGGUAGCGAAAUUCCUUGUCGGGUAAGUUCCGACCUGCACGAAUGGCGUAAUGAUGGCCAGGCUGUCUCCACCCGAGACUCAGUGAAAUUGAACUCGCUGUGAAGAUGCAGUGUACCCGCGGCAAGACGGAAAGACCCCGUGAACCUUUACUAUAGCUUGACACUGAACAUUGAGCCUUGAUGUGUAGGAUAGGUGGGAGGCUUUGAAGCGUGGACGCCAGUCUGCGUGGAGCCAACCUUGAAAUACCACCCUUUAAUGUUUGAUGUUCUAACGUUGGCCCCUUAUCGGGGUUGCGGACAGUGUCUGGUGGGUAGUUUGACUGGGGCGGUCUCCUCCCAAAGCGUAACGGAGGAGCACGAAGGUUAGCUAAUCCUGGUCGGACAUCAGGAGGUUAGUGCAAUGGCAUAAGCUAGCUUGACUGCGAGCGUGACGGCGCGAGCAGGUGCGAAAGCAGGUCAUAGUGAUCCGGUGGUUCUGAAUGGAAGGGCCAUCGCUCAACGGAUAAAAGGUACUCCGGGGAUAACAGGCUGAUACCGCCCAAGAGUUCAUAUCGACGGCGGUGUUUGGCACCUCGAUGUCGGCUCAUCACAUCCUGGGGCUGAAGUAGGUCCCAAGGGUAUGGCUGUUCGCCAUUUAAAGUGGUACGCGAGCUGGGUUUAGAACGUCGUGAGACAGUUCGGUCCCUAUCUGCCGUGGGCGCUGGAGAAUUGAGGGGGGCUGCUCCUAGUACGAGAGGACCGGAGUGGACGCAUCACUGGUGUUCGGGUUGUCAUGCCAAUGGCACUGCCCGGUAGCUAAAUGCGGAAGAGAUAAGUGCUGAAAGCAUCUAAGCACGAAACUUGCCCCGAGAUGAGUUCUCCCUGAGACUUUAAGUCUCCUGAAGGAACGUUGAAGACGACGACGUUGAUAGGCCGGGUGUGUAAGCGCAGCGAUGCGUUGAGCUAACCGGUACUAAUGAACCGUGAGGCUUAACCUU